RNAcentral lists this long non-coding RNA (718 nucleotides) under Nicotiana benthamiana. RNAcentral describes it as "long non-coding RNA (NBEN_LNC027202)". Lineage: Eukaryota; Viridiplantae; Streptophyta; Magnoliopsida; Solanales; Solanaceae. The record is from RNAcentral.
CCAAACUUUCACUAAAAUCACUAAGCCAAAACAACAUUUACAAAAACUCUUUGUAAACCUAAGGAUUAACUCUAAUCCCAGUGUAGCACACACCCUCAACUGUUGUGACACCUUCAAGUUAAUUCUAACUUAAAUACUCAAAGUACCUAAUACAGUUGCUUCUAUGAAAUAUGGAAAGGUAAAACUUUAGACCACCUACAACAAUUGAACUAGACUAAAAGAAAGACACAAUGAAAUUGGUUCUUCUAUCUUGUCCAAGUAGCUUCAGGAAUGCACACUAAAAUCUCACAUAAAUUGCUUACAAAAUUGCCUUGCUUUUUACUCUCAAUUUAGUUUGACAUCUGCGUUUGUGCAAUACCCUGUAAAAGAGAACAACCACUGUUAUUUAAUGAGUUAGUAUUCAAAGUUUGAUUGAGACUCAAUUGUUGAUCUUCCAUUGAAGUUGAGUCUUUGAAUAAUACAAACUCCAAUCCUAUCCUUUAUCCGGAUUGUAUCCUCUUACCAUAAGAAUACUUUCUCUCCUCAUCCAGUAUGCAACCUUUUCGAUUAGUUAAGAAGAUAUUGCUGCUUGAUCACUGAGACUUAUCUCUUUCACGUGCAUCUCAUAUGUCUAGGUUGAUAAAUACUGUGCCUCACAUAAUGGACCUGUCCAUGACUGACUUCAUUUGUCAUUCUUCAAAAUUUCACCUGAACUUGGGCCAAUGAUAACGGUUUAGAA